Molecule: small nuclear RNA, 105 nt
Filed under: Lingulaulax polyedra
Lineage: Eukaryota; Dinophyceae; Gonyaulacales; Lingulodiniaceae
Description: Lingulodinium polyedra partial Dictyostelium signal recognition particle
Source: RNAcentral
GACGCUCUACAUCUCCCUCCUGAGGUUGAGCAAGUGAGCCCGGCGCCUUCCCCGCCUCAUUUCAUCGACGCUUUGCGCAGGCUCGUGGCCUCGUGAGCACAUGCA